AAAUCACAGGCUCUUAGGUUCUUAGAGCACCUGUCCCAGAGGGUGGGAAUUUGGAACAACAGGGGAGUGGGGAGUCCACAUGAGCAAUUUCAGGAGGUCCAUAAAACAUAAAAUGCACGACUAUUAAUUUUUCUGGAAAAAAAGUCCAUUUAUUUACUGAUUUUUUGAAGGAAUCUGACCAAAAAAGGAUUAAGAAACAUAGCUUUCCUAAAUGGCAACUGCCUCUACCUUCCUGAUGUAGCUUAAAUUCAAGUCCUACCCUCCUGGUCCCUGUCUACCUUGCUAUUUGCCAGUGCAUAUUAUGCCUUUGUAUUUCUCAAACAUCCUUGAUUUACCCUCUCCAUGAAGCCUUUCCCACUGAUGGUUUCACUUAGAAUUUUACUUUAACAUUUCAAUGUUUUCUAAAAGGAUUAUUUUGCAGUAUAUAACAAUAUCAUGAUCACAUAAAAAAGGGCAACUCCUGGGGUGCCUCAGUCAGUUAAACAUCUGAAUAUGCCCCUCCCCCUGCAUAUUCUCUCUCAAACAAACUUUUUUUAAAAGUGAGCAUUUCCUUAAUAGCAAACAGAUGUCCAAAUUUUCCCACUUGUUUUUAAGAUUUUACUUAAAAAAAAACAAACACUUUAUUUGGGGCAACUGGGUGGCUCUGUGGGUUCAACAUUCAACUUAAGCUCAGAUCAUGGUCUUGCUGCUAUCAUCGUGGAGCCCACUUUGAAUACUCUGUCCCCCUCUAUGCCCCUCCCCAGCUCUCUCACUCUAAUUAAAAAAAAACAGGGUUGAGAGAGUGAGCACUUGGGCAUGCACAAGAAGGGGAUGGGCAGAGAGAAUCCCAAACAGGCCCUGCACUGUCUACAGCAGAGCCUGACAUGGGGAUCAAACUCACAAACCAUGAGAUUGUGAUGAGCUGAAAUCAAGAAUCGGAUGCUUAACUGAGCCACCUAGAUGCCCCCAAGUUCAGUUUCUUGAUGAGAGCAGUUGGUAUAUACAUCCAUCCGAUGGUACAUAAUUCUACUUGGCUCAUUUGUGAUGUUAGCAGCCGCUAAUGAUCAUUGCCUACAUCUCUAAUUUCAUUAAUACUUGUCUUUCUUCACUUUUUACUUGGAAUACCUCUGUAGAGAAAAACUUCCCCUCAUAAGUACCUAGUUACCCUGAGGUACAGUUCAUACAGAAAAGGAUUCUUCAUGUACUGCUUUUAUAAUGAGUUGGUUUUGUAAUAUUAAUCAAAGGUUAAACCAAUGGGGUUUCUUAGGGGUCACUGUGAGCUCAGAUUUUUAAUAUUUUUUUUAUUUAUUGAGAGAGACAGAGACAGUGUGAGUGGGGGAGGGGAAGAGAGAGAAUCCCAAGCAGGCUCAGCACGCUCAGCACAGAGCCCAGUGCAGGGCUCAAACUCACGAAAUCGUGAGAUCUUGACCUGAGCCAAAACCGAGACAGAUGCUCAAUCGACUGAGACACCCAGGCACCCAGUGUGAGCUCAUGGAUUUGUGUGUGUGUGUGUGUUUGAGCUCAUAGAUUUUUUUAACUUCUGUGUUUCAAUUCAUUGUAGUUCUUAAUGAUGCUCAAAUUGUUCUAUUUUUGGCCUGUGGAAACUCUUCCUAUUGGCUCUUAAGUUCUUUUGACAAGACCCUCAUAGUCAAGAAUAGUCUCUUUAAUAAAUGGUGUUGGGAAAACUGGACAGCCACAUGCAAAAGACAAACUGUACCACUAUCUUACACCUUACGCAAAAAUCAACACAAAUGGAUUAAAAACUUGCAUGUAAGACUGGAAACCAUAAACACCUAGAAGAAAAUACAAGUGGUAAGCUCCCUGACAUUGGUCUUGGUGAUGAUUUUUGGUUUUGACACCAAAAACAAAGUCAACAAAAGCAAAACAAAACAAGUGGGACUACAUCAAACCAAAAAGCUUAUGCACAGCAAAGGAAGUUAACAAAAUGAAAAGGCAACCUACCUGAGAAGGGAUUAAUAUUCAAAAUAUAUUAAAAACUCAUACAGCUGAAUAGUUUAAAAAAAAAUCCAAAAAGGGCAGAGAAUAUGAACAUUUUUCCAAUGACAGAUGGCCAACAGGUACAUGAAAAGGUGUUCAACACCACUAAUUAUCAGGGAAAUGCAAGUCAAAAACAAUGGGAUAUUAUCUCAUACCUGUCAGAAAGGCUAUUAUCAAAAGGACAAGAAAUAACAAGUGUUCGCAAGGAUGUGGAGAAAUGGGAACCUUUGUGCGUUGUUGGUAGGAAUGUACGUUGGUGCAGCUACUUCAGUAUGGAGGUUCCUCAAAGAAUUAAAAACAAAACUACCAUACAAUCUAGCAAUUCCACUUCUGGGUAUCUAUCCAAAGAAAAUGAAAACACUU
Acinonyx jubatus (cheetah) is the source of this 2340-nucleotide long non-coding RNA. RefSeq lists it as uncharacterized. The transcript is spliced from 2 exons. The record is from RefSeq and is a predicted model, not a curated record. Lineage: Eukaryota; Metazoa; Chordata; Mammalia; Carnivora; Felidae.